UAUAAAGAAAACAUUCAACCCCUGAAUGCACCCAAUCUUGUCUGAUCUUGGAAGCUAAGCAGGGUCAGACCUGGUUAGUACUUGAAUGGGAGAAAAUAUUCAGAAUUCAUUAUUU
This is a ribosomal RNA of Cebus imitator (Panamanian white-faced capuchin), 115 nucleotides long. The record is from Ensembl. NCBI's taxonomy places the organism in Eukaryota, Metazoa, Chordata, Mammalia, Primates, Cebidae.